This 251-nucleotide ribosomal RNA is filed under the name uncultured prokaryote. RNAcentral's name for it is "partial 16S rRNA". It matches the Rfam family "Bacterial small subunit ribosomal RNA", at positions 525 to 775 of the family's 1533-position model. The record is from RNAcentral.
ACGAAGGGGGCUAGCGUUGCUCGGAAUUACUGGGCGUAAAGGGAGCGUAGGCGGACAUUUAAGUCAGGUGUGAAAUCCCGGGGCUCAACCUCGGAAGUGCCUUUGAAACUGGGUGUCUUGAGUAUGAGAGAGGUGUGUGGAACUCCGGGUGUAGAGGUGAAAUUCGUAGAUAUGCGGAGGAACACCAGUGGCGAAGGCGACAAACUGGCUCAGUACUGACGCUGAGGCUCGAAAGCGUGGGGAGCAAACAG